AAGAAACUAACAAGGAUUCCCCUAGUAACGGCGAGUGAAGCGGGAAGAGCUCAAAUUUGAAAUCUGGUGGCCUCAGGUCAUCCGAGUUGUAAUCUAUAGAAGUGUUUUCCGUGCUGGCUCAUGUACAAGUCCCUUGGAACAGGGCGUCAUAGAGGGUGAGAAUCCCGUCCUUGACAUGAACUACCAGUGCUCUGUGAUACAUUUUCAACGAGUCGAGUUGUUUGGGAAUGCAGCUCAAAAUGGGUGGUAAAUUCCAUCUAAAGCUAAAUAUUGGCGAGAGACCGAUAGCGAACAAGUACCGUGAGGGAAAGAUGAAAAGCACUUUGGAAAGAGAGUUAAACAGUAUGUGAAAUUGUUAAAAGGGAAACGAUUGAAGUCAGUCGUGCUCUUUGGAUUCAGCCGGUUCUGCCGGUGUACUUCCUUUGAGUGGGGUCAACAUCAGUUUUGAUCGCUGGAUAAAGGCUGGAGGAACGUAGCACCCUCGGGUGAACUUAUAGCCUCCUGUCACAUACAGUGGUUGGGACUGAGGAACGCAGCACGCCUUUAUGGCCGGGAUUCGUCCACGUACGUGC
This 572-nucleotide ribosomal RNA is filed under the name Filobasidium chernovii. RNAcentral's name for it is "partial large subunit ribosomal RNA". It matches the Rfam family "Eukaryotic large subunit ribosomal RNA", at positions 59 to 618 of the family's 3401-position model. Lineage: Eukaryota; Fungi; Basidiomycota; Tremellomycetes; Filobasidiales; Filobasidiaceae. The record is from RNAcentral.